Molecule: ribosomal RNA, 421 nt
Filed under: uncultured bacterium
Lineage: Bacteria
Description: bacterial SSU rRNA
Rfam family: Bacterial small subunit ribosomal RNA
Source: RNAcentral
AAGGAAUAUUGGACAAUGGUCGCAAGACUGAUCCAGCCAUGCCGCGUGCAGGAAGACGGCCCUAUGGGUUGUAAACUGCUUUUGUACCAGAGAAAGCCUAUCUACGUGUAGAUAGCUGAUAGUAUGGUUAGAAUAAGCAUCGGCUAACUUCGUGCCAGCAGCCGCGGUAAGACGAAGGAUGCAAGCGUUAUCCGGAUUCAUUGGGUUUAAAGGGUGCGUAGGCGGGCUUGUAAGUCAGUGGUGAAAUCUCUCAGCUUAACUGAGAAACUGCCAGUGAUACUGCAGGCCUAGAGUAUAGAUGACGUUGGCGGAAUAUGACAUGUAGUGGUGAAAUACUUAGAUAUGUCAUAGAACACCGAUUGCGAAGGCAGCUAACGAAACUAUAACUGACGCUGAGGCACGAAAGUGCGGGGAUCAAACA